AAUUUUGUGAUUUGGGGUUAGGUAGGACCACACACCUCAAAUCCCUCCCUAUUUCCCGUACCCUGUCUCUCUCUCUCCUCCCUCACAAUCUCUCAUUCUCUGUCUCUCUCCUUCGAACUCAAACGGACGAGACCCAAAGACCGUCGAAACUUCCACCAACGACGGAGUUAAGACCACCAUCAAACUCCUGGAACCUCCACGAUCAUGAUGGUAUCCAUUUCAAGUAAGUUUUGCUUCGGAAAACCCUAGUUUCAAAGUUCCCGUGAAAUGGUACUGUUCAUGAUCUUCUAAAUGACUACGUUUUAGGCUAAAACAAGAUCACAGCGAGCUUAGUGAGGUCCCAAGGAAGCUCGGAGUGCUUCGUUGGAAGUUUUUGGACGUAAGAACACGGAGAUCGACAAGUUCAAAGUUUGGCCGGAGCUUUCGAGGAAUUUUCCGGCGAAUCCCCGGUGAGUUAGGAGUCGAGGUAGGUAUCCAUCUCUUCGUCUCGUCAAGUACUACAACUUUCCUUUUUGUUUCACUCAAUUUCGUUGAGUAUUGAAGAAGUUAUACUCAUUUGAAAAAUACCCAGUUUCCGGCGACCUCCGAGGCUUUCGAGGCAGUUUCCGGCCAAACCACGGCGAACUAGGUGUUGUGCAAGGUACCAUUCUCUUUGUCUCUUCAAGGGCUACAACUUUCGUUUUUGAAUCACUUGAUUUCGUUGAGAAAUGACAAAGUUAUGGCAAUUUGAAAAACUGCCCAGAAACGGCCGCCGGAAAAACCAGUCCGGCGACCCAAGGAAGAAGAAGGUGCGCGUGGGGGCGCGUGGACCCGUGCCUUCCUUGGCGCGUGGGGGCGCGUGCUACAGUAAAAAUUAUUUUAAAAAUAUGGCGACGUCCGUGACGUCGAGUAGAUUGGGACUCCGAUUUGCGGAUCUUCCGAAAUUGGAGUUGUAAGUCCAUAAUAUAGAAUGUUAACCGUCACCUAGUUUUGUUAAUUGACGGAGAUCCGACCGUUGGAUGGUAAUGAAAUUUUAGGAGGUUAUCCUAGAGAUAUAUUGUGGACCUCUGGAAGUUAUGGAUUUAAAAUCCGAGUGGUGGAUCUUCCGGAUCGAUCUACGUAGUGACGUAUUUUAUAUAAGUUAUAUAUUCUAUCACUAUGAAUUCUGAGGUUGGAAUUGAUUAUUGUUUUAGGCGCCGAUCGUCAUGACGCCUUGGCGUAUUGUGCUAGGGAGUUGUAGGGCGAACUCCAGGUGAGUGGGCAGUUUUGUUUUCCGUAUAUAUAUAUACUUGACGUUUUCCCAGAAAUUGAAAUUUAAUGAAAGUAUGCUUUAAAUGCAAUGUAUAAAAUUAUAUGAAAAGUAUAUAGAAAUGUGAAUCGAAAUGCCAUGCAUGAAAUGAUAUGAAAAGUAUGAAUUGAGAUAUGAUGCAUAUGUAUGAAUUGGUGCUGUGGACGCACAGGUGAGUAUAAGGUGAGUAUAUUACUGCUAUGAUGAUGUUGAGAUAUAUUGAGCUCAUAACCUGCACCUUGGUAUUAGUGCUUAUUAUUAUUCACCGCAUCGCAUGCUCACCUUGGAUCCAAGUAGAUGCUAGUCGUACAGACCACCGGGGGUGGUUCCGACAUGCCAGUCGUAUAGACCAUUAGAGGGGUUCCGACUGGUAGGUGACCUUAGAUUAUGUGCACAGAUGAUUGAUGAGAGAAGCACUAGAGCAUAUUAUUCUACCAUUAAGUCGUACAGAUUACAUUAGGUAAUUCCGACUUAUGUGCAGUAUAGUGCCGUACAGGUCAUACUAGGUGACUCCGGCAUGGCCGUAUAGGUCACAGUUGGUAUCUCCGGCUAGAUGAUAUUUUGAGCUCUAGGUUCAACCGUACAGGGCCAUUAGAGGGCCUCCGGUUGAUUACUUUCUUGCACCUGAUAUGAUUAUUGUUGAUGCAUCCAUACUUAACUGUUGAAUUAGACAUGGCAUGGCAUGAUUGAUAAAGAAAAAUGUUGAGAUAGUAAAAAUGAAGUUUUGAGAAUAUAUAUGUAUAUUUAUAUUUUACAUUUCUGGGAAAGUAUACAAGUUUUACGGAGAGGGGUUACAACGUUUUGAGAAAUGUUUGGA
Molecule: long non-coding RNA, 2084 nt
Filed under: Malus domestica (apple)
Lineage: Eukaryota; Viridiplantae; Streptophyta; Magnoliopsida; Rosales; Rosaceae
Description: long non-coding RNA (MDOM_LNC005303)
Source: RNAcentral